Molecule: ribosomal RNA, 301 nt
Filed under: uncultured bacterium
Lineage: Bacteria
Description: partial 16S ribosomal RNA
Rfam family: Bacterial small subunit ribosomal RNA
Source: RNAcentral
CAGCCGCCGCGGUAAUACGAAGGGUGCAAGCGUUAAUCGGAAUUACUAGGCGUAAAGCGUGCGUAGGCGGUUUGUUAAGUCUGUUGUGAAAUCCCCGGGCUCAACCUGGGAAUGGCAAUGGAUACUGGCAAGCUAGAGUGUGUCAGAGGAUGGUGGAAUUCCCGGCGUAGCGGUGAAAAGCGUAGAGAUCGGGAGGAACAUCAGUGGCGAAGGCGGCCAUCUGGGACAACACUGACGCUGAGGCACGAAAGCGUGGGGAGCAAACAGGAUUAGAUACCCGCGUAGUCCCUGUCUCUUAUAC